GACGAACGCUGGCGGCGUGCCUAAUACAUGCAAGUAGAACGCUGAAGGAGGAGCUUGCUCUUCUGGAUGAGUUGCGAACGGGUGAGUAACGCGUAGGUAACCUGCCUGGUAGCGGGGGAUAACUAUUGGAAACGAUAGCUAAUACCGCAUAAGAGUAGAUGUUGCAUGACAUUUGCUAAAAAGGUGCAAUUGCAUCACUACCAGAUGGACCUGCGUUGUAUUAGCUAGUUGGUGGGGUAACGGCUCACCAAGGCGACGAUACAUAGCCGACCUGAGAGGGUGAUCCGCCACACUGGGACUGAGACACGGCCCAGACUCCUACGGGAGGCAGCAGUAGGGAAUCUUCGGCAAUGGACGGAAGGCUGAACGGGCAACGCCGCGUGAGUGAAGAAGGUUUUCGGAUCGUAAAGCUCUGUUGUAAGAGAAGAACGAGUGUGAGAGUGGAAAGUUCACACUGUGACGGUAUCUUACCAGAAAGGGACGGCUAACUACGUG
This 495-nucleotide ribosomal RNA is filed under the name uncultured bacterium. RNAcentral describes it as "partial 16S ribosomal RNA". It matches the Rfam family "Bacterial small subunit ribosomal RNA", at positions 28 to 507 of the family's 1533-position model. The record is from RNAcentral.